AGUAUUUCCCAAACAAUGGAUCGGUCUUCCUUCGGCCCCCGGCGCUUCGGUUCGAAACGGCACAGACUUCUGCGAACUGCAACCCGGUGGCCGGCUAGACGGUUUCUCUGGUCUAAGUGGGCGGCCCCGGUUCCCAAUGGCACGCCGGUGGACUCGGGCCCAACCGACGGGAGGCGGCCGUUUUCCCCGAGGCCGCUUAGCCCGGUUAGUCGGACGUGUUAAAAGGCCGAGGAGACGGCCGGGCCAAUUAUCCCGAGACGGGAAGAAAGGGUGGGUAGGUAAUUACGGCCAGACGGGUGAUAGGUGGCUUAACUCCCCGGUGGUCCCUUUACCUACGGAGGAUUUUCCGUCCCGCUGGCACUCCAUAGGUCGCCUACAGAAAUUAGUCGGCGCCUAAAAUUAUUCUCCAGCCACCUGGGGGGCCAUCCGAACCCGU
This 436-nucleotide long non-coding RNA is filed under the name Androctonus crassicauda. The record is from RNAcentral. Lineage: Eukaryota; Metazoa; Arthropoda; Arachnida; Scorpiones; Buthidae.